Molecule: ribosomal RNA, 449 nt
Filed under: uncultured bacterium
Lineage: Bacteria
Description: partial 16S ribosomal RNA
Rfam family: Bacterial small subunit ribosomal RNA
Source: RNAcentral
AACGAACGCUGGCGGCAUGCCUAACACAUGCAAGUCGAACGAGAUCUUCGGGUCUAGUGGCGCACGGGUGCGUAACGCGUGGGAAUCUGCCCUUUGGUUCGGAAUAACAGUUGGAAACGACUGCUAAUACCGGAUGAUGACGAAAGUCCAAAGAUUUAUCGCCAGAGGAUGAGCCCGCGUAGGAUUAGCUAGUUGGUGUGGUAAAGGCGCACCAAGGCGACGAUCCUUAGCUGGUCUGAGAGGAUGAUCAGCCACACUUGGACUGAGACACGGCCCAGACUCCUACGGGAGGCAGCAGUGGGGAAUAUUGGACAAUGGGCCAAAGCCUGAUCCAGCAAUGCCGCGUGAGUGAUGAAGGCCUUAGGGUUGUAAAGCUCUUUUACCCGGGAUGAUAAUGACAGUACCGGGAGAAUAAGCUCCGGCUAACUCCGUGCCAGCAGCCGCCGUAA